RNAcentral lists this ribosomal RNA (447 nucleotides) under uncultured bacterium. RNAcentral describes it as "partial 16S ribosomal RNA". It matches the Rfam family "Bacterial small subunit ribosomal RNA", at positions 29 to 523 of the family's 1533-position model. The record is from RNAcentral.
AACGAACGCUGGCGGCAGGCCUAAAACAUGCAAGUCGAACGCCCCACAAGGGGAGUGGCGCACGGGUGAGUAACGCGUGGGAACGUGCCCUUCAGUACGGGACAACGUCGGGAAACUGACGCUAAUACCGGAUAAUGACUCCGGUCCAAAGAUUUAUCGCUGAAGGAGCGGCCCGCGUCUGAUUAGCUCGUUGGUAAGGUUAUGGCUCACCAAGGCUACGAUCAGUAGCACGUAUGUGAGCAUGAUCUGCCACACUGGGACUGAGACACGGCCCAGACUCCUGCAGGAGGCAGCAGUUAGGAAAAUUGGAAAAUAGGAGAAGCCCUGAACCAGCCAUGCCGCGUGUGUGAUGAAGGCCCCAGGCUUGUAAAGCCCUUUCGUUGGGGAUGAUAAUGACCGUACCCAAAGAAGAAGCACCGGCUAACUUCGUGCCAGCCGCCGCCGUAA